ACGGGUGCGUAACGCGUGGGAAUCUGCCCUUGGGUACGGAAUAACUCAGAGAAAUUUGUGCUAAUACCGUAUAAUGUCUUCGGACCAAAGAUUUAUCGCCCAAGGAUGAGCCCGCGUAAGAUUAGCUAGUUGGUGAGGUAAAAGCUCACCAAGGCGACGAUCUUUAGCUGGUCUGAGAGGAUGAUCAGCCACACUGGGACUGAGACACGGCCCAGACUCCUACGGGAGGCAGCAGUGGGGAAUAUUGGACAAUGGGCGAAAGCCUGAUCCAGCAAUGCCGCGUGAGUGAUGAAGGCCUUAGGGUUGUAAAGCUCUUUUACCCGGGAUGAUAAUGACAGUACCGGGAGAAUAAGCUCCGGCUAACUCCGUGCCAGCAGCCGCGGUAAUACGGAGGGAGCUAGCGUUGUUCGGAAUUACUGGGCGUAAAGCGCGCGUAGGCGGUUUUUUAAGUCAGAGGUGAAAGCCCAGUGCUCAACACUGGAACUGCCUUUGAAACUGGAAAACUUGAAUCUUGGAGAGGUCAGUGGAAUUCCGAGUGUAGAGGUGAAAUUCGUAGA
RNAcentral lists this ribosomal RNA (557 nucleotides) under Sphingopyxis sp. BvIRR095. Its description in RNAcentral is "bacterial SSU rRNA". It matches the Rfam family "Bacterial small subunit ribosomal RNA", at positions 102 to 694 of the family's 1533-position model. Lineage: Bacteria; Pseudomonadati; Pseudomonadota; Alphaproteobacteria; Sphingomonadales; Sphingopyxidaceae. RNAcentral also lists the same sequence under 2 other names. The record is from RNAcentral.